ACGGGUGNGUAACGCGUGAGUAACCUGCCUUUCANAGGGGGAUAACGUUCUGAAAAGAACGCUAAUACCGCAUAACAUCAAUUUAUCGCAUGAUAGGUUGAUCAAAGGAGCAAUCCGCUGGAAGAUGGACUCGCGCCCGAUUAGCCAGUUGGCGGGGUAACGGCCCACCAAAGCGACGAUCGGUAGCCGGACUGAGAGGUUGAACGGCCACAUUGGGACUGAGACACGGCCCAGACUCCUACGGGAGGCAGCAUG
Molecule: ribosomal RNA, 255 nt
Filed under: uncultured bacterium
Lineage: Bacteria
Description: partial 16S ribosomal RNA
Rfam family: Bacterial small subunit ribosomal RNA
Source: RNAcentral